AUGAGUCACGAGGGCGACGGCGGCGGCGGCGGCGAGAUGGCCCUCCGCCCCGGCCCCCCGCAGGCGGCGGCGCCGCUGGAAGACGAGGACGUCCUGGGCGAGAUCCUCGUGCGCCUCCCCCCGCUGCCCUCCUCGCUCGUCCGCGCCGCCGCCGUCUCCAGGCACUGGGGGCGCCUCGCCGCGGACCGCGCCUUCCUCCGCCGCUUCCGCACCCACCACCGGAGGCCCCCCGUCCUCGGCGUCUUCGAGGAGCGCGACGGGGAGCUGUUGUUCACCCCGCUCCUCGACGCCCCCGACCGGAUCCCCCGCGAGCGCUUCUCCAUGCGGUUCUGGCACGUGCUCGGUUCCUGGACCUUGCUCGGGUACCGCCACGGCCGCGUCCUCAUGGUCAACCUGGAUCUGGCCCUGCUCCUCGUUUUCGCCCCUCUCGCCGGCGGCCGCCGAGGCCUCCGCGGCGUGGUGAUUCCUCCGGAUUUCGUCGACGGCGAGUACGCCGUCGCCAACGGAGCUGUGCUCUGCGCUGCCGGCGACGAGCAGGGCCACGUGCACGGAGACUGCCACUCGGGCCCCUUCAAGGUGGUUCUGGUGGCCACCAGAGUGGGACACCCGGUCCUAGCCCGGGUAUACUCCUCAGACACCGGUGAGUGGGGAGAUCUUGUCGUAAUGGCGGAACCAUGUGUUGUUAGCAGCUUCCCCUCCACCCUCGUCGGCAAUGCUCUUUACUGGUGGCUAAAAAAGUGUCAGCACGAGGAUGAUGGCAUACUCAAGUUCGAUUUGGAUAGCCAGACACUAUCUGUGAUCAAGAGGCCUAUUUUUAAUCACAUUCCCAGUUGCAGCAUCCGGAUCAUCAGGGGAGAGCAUGGCGGUGUUGGCCUCGCCGUAUGUUGGUACCCGAGGUUCCAAAUCUGGGAACGCAUGGUCAAUAGUCAUGGUACUGCCAUAUGGGUGCUGCGAAAGACGGCUCGCAUGCAUAGUAUGCUCCAGUAUGCUAUGCUGACUAUAGUAGGGUACUCUGAGGAUGGUGAUGCGCUUCUUCUAACAGUGUCCUUCGGUGGGGGUGUGGCCGCCUACAGCUUCAUGCUUCAACUUGAGUCAAUGGAGUGGACGAAUCUUAAUCAAAGUUUUUUGGAGUAUUCCUACCAUCCGUUCGCAUACUUCUAUACUGCAGGUACUGUCAGAGCGUCAAGUACCGCUCCAGCCAUUGAGCCACCACAGCAGCGAAGUACAAUUCCAGCCAUUGUGCCACCACAGCAGUGA
This 1257-nucleotide ribosomal RNA is filed under the name Triticum aestivum (bread wheat). Its description in RNAcentral is "partial small subunit ribosomal RNA". Lineage: Eukaryota; Viridiplantae; Streptophyta; Magnoliopsida; Poales; Poaceae. The record is from RNAcentral.